Anas platyrhynchos (mallard) is the source of this 2790-nucleotide non-coding RNA. The record is from RefSeq and is a predicted model, not a curated record. Lineage: Eukaryota; Metazoa; Chordata; Aves; Anseriformes; Anatidae.
ACCCUUUGCCUGUCUGCCUUGCACUUGCACCAUAGGCAUGUUGGUGUAAUUACAGCUCUCAAAUUCCUUAGGAAAAUGUAACAUUUUUCCUCUGCUCACUGUAGGAAAAGUGGGAGCAAGCCAUGGGGCUGUUUAAGCCUUCAUAUAGGGGAGGUAGGGAAUGGGGCAGCAUGUCUGGAGUAGAUGCUAUGGAUGGGAAAAUAACCAAAGACUGGAUGUAGCAUUCAGUUUUCAGUCAGCACGAGGAGUGACCUGCUUAUCUGGCUUUCAGCAGGCACUACUAUGGGUCCCAGAAGUGCUAAGUUUGCACUUCUGUGUUUCUGGCAGGCCUCUGCCACCCUGCCAAGGCUGGAAGGAACCAGGACCUUACAGGCAGUUUCCCCCCAAAGCCCACCAUGGCAGUGCUGGGCAGCAGCUUCACGUUUUGGGUUUAGGGCAGACAGACCCAAAGUGAAUGGCACCGGUGGGAGAGCUCAUCCCUCACCUGUUCUGGAUGCUUUCAUCUCUUCAGCAUUGCUGGUACAGCUGCUCAAAUGGAUGCUUCCUAGCCUGACAGCCAACAGGAGAUGGUGAGCAAAGCCAUGCCUGUUUCCUGGUUCUCACUGGGUUAUUUUUCCCAAAUCUCAGGCUCUUUUCAAUGCUUCCCUUCACAUCCCUGUUAUGGUGAAAUGAGUCUUUGUUUUCUUCUGAGGACAUUGAAGAAUAUGUGCAUUUGUGGUGUUUUUUAAUGAUUGAGGAGACAGAGUUAAAUAGAGGUUUCUUAGUUAUGCUAAUUUGUUUUAGGACAUUUGAGAAUGGUAAUUUGGAAUUUUCGAGGCAAUAAUAACAUUAAAAGGCUCAUCAUUUGUCAGAAAGACAAGUGCAAAGAAACUCGAAUCGCAAAAUUUACAUAUUCUGCCUAGUGCAGAAAUUAGUUUUGCUUUGGACUGCUUCAAAAUGUUAUUUUACAGAAAGAUUUGGGGUAUAGUGCAGGCUCUGUCAGAUACCCAACUCAGCCUCCGGUUGCAGAGCCUUAAAACAGGCACUGCUCGUUAGCACAGUGAUUCAGGGCAGCAGAAUCGGGUUUACUCUGGAGCCAGCAGAGCAGGGUGAGUGCUCCUCUUCCCCUUGUUAGCACUGAGUAGGAAACACCAGCUAUGGGAUGAGUCUCAAUCCCUAUCCUGCUUUGGAGGUGUCUGGCUCAGUGCAGUGCUUUGCCCUGCCCACCCCCAACCUGUAGACUUUUCUGCAAAUAAUGGACUCAAAGUUAAAUUGUCCACAGCUCCUUUGUGUUGAUUUUGGUGUCUCACAGCCUUGCCUAAGAGUUGCAAGGUGAGGGAGGGUGAAGGUCUGGCUGCUCAGGCAAACACCAGCCUGCAAGUCAGAUUUUGUGAAGGUGCUCUGUGGAUCUAAGACAUCGCUGCUGCCUGAAGGGAUGGUGCUGCUCCCAUCUUGAAUCUGCUUCUGCUGUUUCACUUGCCUUAGUGCUCACUUGAAUCCUUGUGUCACCAUGAAUUGUCCCAGAAGAAUGACAUUUGUUAAUGUGAACAGUUGGGAGAUAUGCUUUUCAUUCUGUGACUAAUCUGGACUUUGAAAUGUACUGCCAGUGGCUUCAAAAGACAGCCAGUUGGUGUGCGAAUCAACGCCAGGCCUGGAGCAGAGAUCUUAAGAAAUAUGGCAGGGAUAUUUGCAGAGUAUGCUCAAGAGUAAAUAAUCAAUAUCAAACCAAACAGAUGUGUGCUGCUUAAACUGAGGUUAUACCAGUGUAACUCCGUUCUUCUCCAUGACAUUCACGGUUGAUUUACGUCAUCUAGGCUGGAAGCUUUGGCCUUGUUUGGUGACAUGGACUGUUUUGCCCAUAAUGGGGAAAUCAAGAGAGAUUGUGGAACCAUGAUAGACAGAAAUCAUGGGACUGUUGGAAUUUAGCACUUGGAAGAGGCACUCAGUGACUAUCCAAGAGAAGGGCUAUAAUUCUCUCUGUAUCCUGUGCUGUGUUCUGCGGAAGCAACCCUGCGAUUCAGAGACCUAUGGGGUGCUGGCCCACCAUGCUGAGUGCAUCUUCUGCAGGAAAAUCCUCCGUGUUUGGAAGCACUGACUCAGAGACAAGAAAAUGCUGGCUGCUUGGACGUGGCCACUUCUUGCUGGCUGAGGCAAAGUGGUAACACAGAAGUAUAUCUCCUCUUGUGGGCAAGUCUAACUUGUUGACAUUUAAUCCCCUUGAAUCAAGUCAGCUGAAUGGUAGCUAAAAUCUGCAAUAUAGCUAUAGCUGGCAUCCUCAAUAAUGUAACUGUUUUCCUCAUCAAAAUGAAGUCAUUUUGUCAGCAGAUAUGGAUUACACUUGAAGCCAUCAACAGCCAAGAUAUAUGCACUGGAAAGAGGUUCCUGUGAAAAAUAAUCAAAUGUGGGAUUUGUGUACAUAACAGACUUGCACCCAGAUAGUUAACUGUCAAUUAAAACCUGCUUUAAGUUUCUGGGGCUCCAGCUUGGGAGUAAACAGAUCCUGACUCCAUUUACUUUGCUUUAUAACUCUAAUCUAUUCUUUCUUGAUAUCUCUGUCUCUCGUACAAUUUUCUGUGUUGGACUUGUCAUGAGGUUCUUGCAUUUAUUGAAUUCUUAUGACUCUUUGCCUUUUUUUCUCUCUAAUUCAGUGACAAUCUGUUGCUCCCUGCAGUGACUAAAGCACCUUGAACAUUAUCAUUCAGUGUCUAUGUUAUCAUGCAGCAAUGACUCAUCAUGUCAAGAUGAUGGAGAGCAAGGCUUGUAGUGUCUGCGGAAGCUUCAGUCAAAUAAAGAAUAGCAGCUUUUAUCUGA